Molecule: non-coding RNA, 88 nt
Filed under: Peptococcaceae bacterium
Lineage: Bacteria; Bacillati; Bacillota; Clostridia; Eubacteriales; Peptococcaceae
Description: c-di-GMP sequence
Rfam family: c-di-GMP-I riboswitch aptamer
About the family: GEMM was predicted in a large-scale screen for bacterial structured RNA regulatory elements. Genes associated with GEMM are involved in a diverse array of functions, including chemotaxis regulation, signal transduction, secretion and chitin.
Source: RNAcentral
GUUUCUAUAGGGCAAACUACUUCGAAAGAGUAGGGCGCAAAGCCAUGGGUCUAAGGCACUUUUUGUGCAUGAUCGCCAGGCUGCGGGG